This 1009-nucleotide ribosomal RNA is filed under the name Bacillus safensis. RNAcentral's name for it is "bacterial SSU rRNA". It matches the Rfam family "Bacterial small subunit ribosomal RNA", at positions 44 to 1038 of the family's 1533-position model. Lineage: Bacteria; Bacillati; Bacillota; Bacilli; Caryophanales; Bacillaceae. The record is from RNAcentral.
GGGGCUAUACAUGCAGUCGAGCGGACAGAAGGGAGCUUGCUCCCGGAUGUUAGCGGCGGACGGGUGAGUAACACGUGGGUAACCUGCCUGUAAGACUGGGAUAACUCCGGGAAACCGGAGCUAAUACCGGAUAGUUCCUUGAACCGCAUGGUUCAAGGAUGAAAGACGGUUUCGGCUGUCACUUACAGAUGGACCCGCGGCGCAUUAGCUAGUUGGUGGGGUAAUGGCUCACCAAGGCGACGAUGCGUAGCCGACCUGAGAGGGUGAUCGGCCACACUGGGACUGAGACACGGCCCAGACUCCUACGGGAGGCAGCAGUAGGGAAUCUUCCGCAAUGGACGAAAGUCUGACGGAGCAACGCCGCGUGAGUGAUGAAGGUUUUCGGAUCGUAAAGCUCUGUUGUUAGGGAAGAACAAGUGCGAGAGUAACUGCUCGCACCUUGACGGUACCUAACCAGAAAGCCACGGCUAACUACGUGCCAGCAGCCGCGGUAAUACGUAGGUGGCAAGCGUUGUCCGGAAUUAUUGGGCGUAAAGGGCUCGCAGGCGGUUUCUUAAGUCUGAUGUGAAAGCCCCCGGCUCAACCGGGGAGGGUCAUUGGAAACUGGGAAACUUGAGUGCAGAAGAGGAGAGUGGAAUUCCACGUGUAGCGGUGAAAUGCGUAAAGAUGUGGAGGAACACCAGUGGCGAAGGCGACUCUCUGGUCUGUAACUGACGCUAAGGAGCGAAAGCGUGGGGAGCGAACAGGAUUAGAUACCCUGGUAGUCCACGCCGUAGACAAUGAGUGCUAAGUGUUAGGGGGUUUCCGCCCCUUAUUGCUGCAGCUAACGCAUUAAGCACUCCCCCUGGGGAGUACGGUCGCAAGACUGAAACUCAAAGGAAUUGACGGGGGCCCGCACAACCGGUGGAGCAUGUGGUUUAAUUCAAACCAACGCCAAAAACCUUACCAGGUCUUGACAUCCUCUGACACCCCUAGAAAUAGGGCUUUCCCUUCCCGGACCAAUGACAAU